Molecule: non-coding RNA, 66 nt
Filed under: Palpitomonas bilix
Lineage: Eukaryota
Source: RNAcentral
AAAAAAAAAAAAAAAAAAAAGAGAGAAAAAGAGAAGAAAAAAAUGGAGAAAAAUGGCAAAGCGCUC